CAAUAUUAAUCGUGAAUAUAUCUGUCAAAGAUGCGGAAUACGUGUAAUUGUGCCGGGAAAAAUAAACAACCUGAGGACCAAAAUUAUCUGAGCUGUGUCAGUGUGUCGCUGAACAACAGAAAUUCAAAAUAGAAGAAGCUGUGUCUGGAAAAGCACCAUGGUUCCCCUUUGCAACCCUACGGUUUCUCUGCCCCUCCCGAUUCCGACGAAAGCCAAGAACCGCUCCUCGAAUUCAAUUAUAACCAACUCUGCUUCUUCCAGCAAGAGGCAGCGAACAACUACAACUACUUCCUUUUCGCCCUUCGAAACACGAGUCUCACUCAUUUUCGCCCUUGCUUCUCAAGCUACCUCUCUCUCCCAGCGACGUAAAUUUAUAGCUGACGUGGCUUCUGAGACUGCAAAGUACGUGUUUCCUAAAAGAUUUGAAAGCCGCACGCUCGAGGAGGCCUUCAUGGCAGUUCCCGACCUUGAGACUCUCAACUUCAAAGUUCUUAGUAGAACGGACUUCUAUGAGAUCCGGGAAGUUGAGCAUUAUUUUGUGGCAGAGACUACAAUGCCUGGGAAGACUGGCUUUGAUUUCAAUGGUUCUUCUCAAUCCUUUAAUGUCCUAGCUGAGUACCUCUUCGGUAAGAAUACAAGAAAGGAAAAAAUGGAGAUGACUACACCAGUGAUUACAACUAAGAAUCCGUCGGAUGGGGUUAAAAUGGAGAUGACUACCCCUGUGCUAACAACAAAGUCAGAAGAUCCAGAUAAAUGGAAAAUGUCUUUUGUCAUGCCAUCAAAAUAUGGUGCUGAUCUGCCACUGCCUAGAGACUCCUCUGUGAUGAUUAAAGAGAUCCCCAGAAAAAUAGUUGCUGUAGUUUCAUUUUCAGUUCAUAGCUCACUUACAUGCACUACAUCUACUUGCACAUACAAGGAGCUGUAAAUCACAACUUAAGUCACCCACUUGCCCCACUCGCACAACUAACUCAGCACACUUUCAAACAACUCAAUGAGUUGUAAUGAACUGUUUUUUGUUUCUAAAUUGUGCCUAUAAAUAAGGCUAUGUAUUGUAUAAUUUAAACAUAACAGAAAAUAGUUUUCUUCUUUCAUCUAUAUGUAUGCAACUUUUUUUCUUCUUGUUGGCGAGUCUUUGGAUUUUAGAUGCUGGAAGUUAUUAACACUGCAGAUAAUUAACUUUAGGAGAAACCCCAAAUCUGCAAUUUGGUUUACUAGAGCACAUGCAUAUUUUUAUGCGUGUAUGAUGUGUGUAUUUUCAUCUGAUUGUGCUCCAUUUGUAUUUCAAUGAAAUGUUUGAAUGCUUGGGCACGACGACUCUUCGUUUUCUCUAAUCACUGAGUUAUAAUAAUUAAGUAAAUCAUUGUUAGUUUUAUGAAAUAGUUUGAUGUUGGUUUAGUGUAUUAUGGAAUUGAAUAUUGUAGUAAGGAUAGUUUUGAUGAAUAAGUAGUUUGGACAAAUGGUUUGAGAAAUUUGAUAGUUAUAUUAUUGAUGGGUUAAAGAGAGAGGAGAAAGGCUAGUGAAAUUUGAUAUGUUUGUUAGUUAGUUACAAUGAACUCCAUGAUGACCUAUUUAUAGGCUCCAUAAGUUGAUUCUAGAUAAUUCCAAAUCUUAGAUAAUUCUAGAUAUUAGCCUAAAUAUUUUUAGAUACUAAUCUUAGACAUUUUUAGUACUUGAUUUAUUUACUUAACUUCUAGACUUCUCCAUUAUAAUAUCUAGAUAUUUAUUUUUAUGAAACAAGAUUAUAAAAAUUCUAGAAAAUUCUACAAUUGUGUAGCAUUAUUAAUACUCCUCCGUAAUGUACAUUUGUGUAACUCCAAGUAUCUCUUGAAAUAGUUUGAACUUUGAUCUUGGUAGUACCUUAGUGAAGAUGUCUGCCAGUUACUCAUCUGUGUUGCAAUACUCGAGCUUUAUCUUUUUCUCCAAUAUAGCUUCUCGUAUAAAAUGAUACUUGAUAGCUAUAUGCUUGGUCCUAUAAUGAUGGAUUGGAUUGUUUGCCACUGCUAUUGUUGACUUGCUGUCGCACAACAUAGUUGUUGGUUCUUUUUGGUGCUCUCCUAUGUCUUCGAAUAUUUUCCUUAGCCAUAUUGCUUGACUAAUAGCAUUUGCGGCUGCAAUAUACUCAACUUCAGCAGAUGAUUGAGCCACAAUUUCUUGUUUCUUUGAUGCCCAAGAGAAUCCAGAUCCUAGUAUAAAUGCAUAUCGAGAAGCGCUUUUCAUGUCGUCAAUUGAUCCUCCCAAUCACUAUCGAUAUAUCCAAGUAGUUUUGGAUCUUCGGUAGAUUAGUGAAUGCCAUAAUACUUUGUGUCUUUAGAUAUUUUAAGAUUCUUCUUGUAGCCCCAUAGUGUUUCUGACUUGGCUUUUGCAUGAAUUUUGAUAGUAAACUUGUUGCAUACAUAAUGUUAGGUCUUGCGGUAGUUAGAUAAAGGAAAUUUUCAAUGAGACUUCUGUAUUGCGAAACAUCUGCCUCUCUAGAUCCAUCUUGUUUUUGUAAUUUCUCAUUAUAGACUAGAAGAGUAGAUAGUGCUUUGCAAUUAUUUAUCUUGAACUUUUGUAACAAAUUUUGAGUGUAUUUCUUUUGCGAGAUGAAAAUUCCAUCUUCAUUUUGGUUUACCUCAAUGCCAAGAAAAUAGUGCAUCAAUCUUAAACCAGUCAUCUUAAAUGUCUGCUUCAUUUUUUUUUUGAAUUCUCUGAUCAUAGUCUCAUUGUUUCCUAUUUAGAUAAGAUCGUCCACGUACAAAGAAAUUAUGAAAGUGUUUGAAUUACCUUGCACCUUGAUGUAGAGUGUAGGCUCACUUUUACUUUUAAAUUCAUGAUCAGUGAAAUAUUUGUCAAUUCAACUGUACUAUACUUGCGGAGCUUACUUGAGUUCAUAGAGUGCUUUCUUUAGUCUUAGCACCUUGUCUUCAUAUCCUUCUAUAAUGAACCCUUGUGGUUGAUCAACAUAUACUUCUUCCACCAGUUCUCCAUUCAGAAAGGCAGAUUUCACGUCCAGUUGAUAGAUCUUCCAUAGCUUUUGUACGACUAGUGCAAUGAGCGCCCUUAUUGUAUCUAAACGAGAUAAAGGUGUAAAUGUCUCUAUGUAAUCUAUUCCAGAAAUUUGUGCAUAUCUUUUAGCUACGAGCCUUGCUUUAUGCUUUUGAAUAGAUCCAUCGAGUUUGAGCUUAGUCUUGUAUACCUACUUGACUCCAAUGUUAUCUUUAUUUGAAGGGCAAUUUACCAGUUUUCAUGUGUUAUUCUUCUCAAUCAUCUUGAUUUCUUCUACCAUAGCAUUUCUCUAUUCUUCUUGCUUUUCUGCUUCUUCAAAGCUUUUAGACUCGAUCUUAGCAAAAUUACAUGUUUCAUAUACAUCUUGUAGAGGCUUAGUUUUUUUUAGGAGAAUCCGUGGUUGCUUCUACUGUUGGAGUAGUUGUGCUUGCUUCUUCACGUUUUUGUUCCUCUAGUCUUGUAGGUGAUUGUUGUGAUAUUUCAAUGCUUUCUUUCUCGACUUUUUCAUCUUCUCAGUUCCAUGAAACACUUUCGUCAAACUUCACGUCUCGACUGAUUAUGAGUUUCUUCGUUUGCAAGUUAUACACACGAUAUCCUUUUGAUUGUGUACUAUACCCAAGAAAGAUUUCUUUCUCUGUCUUCUCAUCAAGCUUGCUUUUUUUUUUGUGUGAAAAUGUGGACAUAGCAUAUGUAUUCAAAGACUCUUAGAUGCUUUGCAGAAGAUUUUUGUCUACUCCAUGCUCUGAUUGGAGUUUUAUUGUCUACUGCGCUAGUGGGACAACGAUUUAGUAGGUAUACUGCUAUGUAAAUAGCUUCUACCUAAAAGAUGUUUGACAGAUUUUUCUCCUUGAGGAUGAAGCGUGACAUCUCCAUCACAGUUCUAUUUUUUUCUCUCAUAUACUCCAUUUUGCUCAAGAGCAUAUCCCACUGUGAGUUGACGCUCGACACCCUCUUCUUUGUAGAAUUUAUUAAAUUCUUUGAAAGUGUAUUCAGUUCCUUUGUCGCUACAAAAUACCUUGAUGCUACGACCACUUUGCUUCUCCACAUGUUGCUUGAACUUCUUGAAAAUGCUAAAAACCUCUUAUCUUUCACGUAGGAAAUAUACCCACGUCAUUCUAGUAUAAUCAUCGAUGAAGAGAAUGAAGUACCUGUUGUUAUUGAGUGAUGGAGUCUUCAUCGGACCACAAAUGUCAGUGUGAACUAAUUCAAGCAUCUCCUUGGCUCGCCAAGCUCUUCUAGAAGGAAAUGGUUGACGAUAUUUUCCAAGUUUUGUGAAUGAUGAAGAAGUCAAGCAUCGUGAACUGAAAUUACGCGAAGCCUUGAAAAGUGACAGACAGUUCAAAAUUAAAGAGGGAAGUUCAGUAGAAGUUGGACAAUACAAUCCACCAUUUACCCUACCAUUUCAACGGCGCAAUGAAGUGGCAUUGGAGGUGGAACGGAAAGAUGAGUAGGAAUAAACUUGAAUAUUUACCAUUCCUAUUAUAAGUUGUAAAAUUUAACACAGUUAGCAUCAUGAGGGAACAAGAUCUUUGAAGUCAUGUUGAUGCUUGCCUUUUUGUAAAUAUACUGAGAUUGAAAAUUUUAGAAUCAAAUAUAUGGAGAAUAUACCAAUUUCAUAUGCUUUAA
Molecule: non-coding RNA, 4611 nt
Organism: Arachis ipaensis
Lineage: Eukaryota; Viridiplantae; Streptophyta; Magnoliopsida; Fabales; Fabaceae
Source: RefSeq, a predicted model, not a curated record